AGUGAACGCUGGCGGUAGGCCUAACACAUGCAAGUCGAACGGCAGCACAGUAAGAGCUUGCUCUUACGGGUGGCGAGUGGCGGACGGGUGAGGAAUACAUCGGAAUCUACUUUUUCGUGGGGGAUAACGUAGGGAAACUUACGCUAAUACCGCAUACGACCUACGGGUGAAAGCAGGGGAUCUUCGGACCUUGCGCGAGUGAAUGAGCCGAUGUCGGAUUAGCUAGUUGGCGGGGUAAAGGCCCACCAAGGCGACGAUCCGUAGCUGGUCUGAGAGGAUGAUCAGCCACACUGGAACUGAGGCACGGUCCAGACUCCUACGGGAGGCAGCAGUGGGGAAUAUUGGACAAUGGGCGCAAGCCUGAUCCAGCCAUACCGCGUGGGUGAAGAAGGCCUUCUGGUUGUAAAGCCCUUUUGUUGGGAAAGAAAAGCAGCAGGUUAAUCCCCCGCUGUUCUGACGGUACCCAAAGAAUAAGCACCGGCUAACUUCGUG
Molecule: ribosomal RNA, 492 nt
Filed under: uncultured bacterium
Lineage: Bacteria
Description: partial 16S ribosomal RNA
Rfam family: Bacterial small subunit ribosomal RNA
Source: RNAcentral